AGGCCCUAUCUGCGUAGAUUCAAUAAUGUGCGUCGGACAUGCACUUAGAUACGAUGCAGAUAAUUAUUUGGGCCGGAUAAUACUUAGAGUGCGACGCAGAUGAGGCCCAAUAUACACACGCGCUUCUUCCUUCUUUUUUAUUUACAAAACCUACCAAUUAACUUCUUCCUUCCUCAUCUCACACAGCCGUCACUCUAUCCCUCUCUCUCCUUCACUUUUUCCCAUCUUUCUUCCAUCAAAUUCUGAAUUCUUAAAAUACAUCUUAAUUAUUGUCACCGGAAAUUAGAUUCAUCGUCACAUCAUCGAAAAUACUGAUUUCGUGGUUGUUUGCUCGUCGGAUUCGUUCUUUCAUGAACUGCAAAUCUUCCUCAGAAAAAAUGGCAAAUCCUUCGUGAACUGCAAUUCGAAUAUGGCACUUCGUGAACUGCAUUCCGUACCAAUUUUGUACCAAGAAUAAGAUCUGUUUGAAGACCUCCUCGUUUUUUCAUUUUUGUCUGUGUCGACACAUUGCUGCUGGUGGAUUUGUUCGAAUUAUAAGAACGAGAAGGAAGGUCAAGAUGUGAAGGAAGCUCCAAAAGUUUUGUACUAUAUUAGUUAAUGAUAGAUUUGUUAUUAUGAAUUUGUUGUUUUAUAUAUGUUCUGAAACUCCAACUAUUUCUACAAAUUCUUGCUUUAUUGUUUAUUAGUUUUCUUUGAUUUUCCAUCCUCUCUAAACAUUCAUCGUCACACCUUGAAUUUCAUUUUUUGUUUUUGA
Molecule: long non-coding RNA, 754 nt
Organism: Beta vulgaris subsp. vulgaris (sugar beet)
Lineage: Eukaryota; Viridiplantae; Streptophyta; Magnoliopsida; Caryophyllales; Amaranthaceae
Exons: 2
Source: RefSeq, a predicted model, not a curated record